Rhipicephalus microplus (southern cattle tick) is the source of this 1106-nucleotide long non-coding RNA. The record is from RefSeq and is a predicted model, not a curated record. NCBI's taxonomy places the organism in Eukaryota, Metazoa, Arthropoda, Arachnida, Ixodida, Ixodidae.
CUCAUCUUGGCGGACAUGCUGUCGCGAGACACAGCCGUGAAGCCGGACCAGGACGAUGCGGACACUGACGCCGACGUGAAAAUACAUGCCUUUUCCAGAGGUGGAGGAGCUGCGUGACACAUCGGCGACAACCGUCAUCGACAUGCUCGGGCACAUAUUUUCGUGAUAUGGUAUUCCAUAUGAGGUGUGUACAGACAACGGUCCCAAUUCAGCAGUCGCGACUUGAGCUGGUUUGCAAGCAAGUAUGACUUCAGACAUGUCACCUCAAGCGCGCAGUUCCCAAGGUCCAACGGACUAGCAGAGAAGGGCGUGCAGGUAGGUAAAAGAAUUUUGAAGAAAACAAAAGACGCACGAGAAGAUUUCUGGCUGGGCCUCCUGAGCUACAGGUCAACACCCUUAGAAGAUGGACUGAUCGCCCUGAAAACUACUCCAAGGAAGGCGAUUAAGGUCGACACUUCCAGAUUUAGUGACCAGAAGAGACAACGCAAGUGUGGAAACGUGUUCAAAAGGGACAUUCCAAACGGGAUCUGCCACCACUGGACAAGUGACAGACUGUUAGGAUCGAGAAAAAGUAUUGGUCAUGGAAAGCGAAAGUGGUCAAGCAGGUGUAUCCAAGAUCGUACGAAGUCUUGACAGAAGACAACAAAAGACUUCGUCGGAACAGGCAACAUGUGCUCCCCACAAGCGAAGCUUUCAUCCAGGGUGCCCUGGAAAGUGAACCCAGUACUUACGAAGUCCUAACAAACUGCACCUGCUACGCCCGACUGUUUAAUGCAACACCAGUCAUGGCGACAUACCCCACUACAUCAUUACGAAGAUACAGCCGCCAGUCCAGGCCACCUCAGCGCCUACAAUAUGACUCAAGUUUCCAACAGUUGCCCUGAACUCUUUCCCUUUUUUGUGUUUGUGUGCUGUUAAUACGUGCAUUACACUAGUUGUUCUAGUAUGUGCACCUUCAAAAGGAGAAAGAUGUAUCGUGAUGUGAUAGUGCAACACACGUCAUUUCCACUAGACACGAGCCGUGUCCUUUCUCUUCCCUCUUUCCUGAUGGUGUGGCUUUAUAAGCAAGCGCAAUAAAGGACUCGGGGUUCUUUUUCACCCGUCAA